GCAAGUCGAACGGAGCAGCAGCUUGCUGUUGCUUAGUGGCGGAAGGGUUAGUAAUGCAUAGAUAAUCUGUCUUUAACUUGGGAAUAACGGUUGGAAACGAUCGCUAAUACCGAAUGUGGUGCGCAAAGUUCGCUUUAGCGUAUUAAAGAAGGGGACCUUAGGGCCUUUCGGUUGAUGAAGAGUCUAUGAGAUAUCAGCUAGUUGGUGAGGUAAAGGCUCACCAAGGCUAUGACGUCUAGGCGGAUUGAGAGAUUGAUCGCCAACACUGGGACUGA
This 275-nucleotide ribosomal RNA is filed under the name uncultured Chlamydiales bacterium. Its description in RNAcentral is "partial 16S ribosomal RNA". It matches the Rfam family "Bacterial small subunit ribosomal RNA", at positions 57 to 322 of the family's 1533-position model. The record is from RNAcentral. Lineage: Bacteria; Pseudomonadati; Chlamydiota; Chlamydiia; Chlamydiales.